UAAAUCUGGCGCAACGGACAACGAGAAGAUUCCAAACUUCGCAUUUAUUACAACUUCCGUAUCUAUCCACGUGCUUCAAACGCACAUUUCAUCCCAUCGCUCAUUAGAUCAAAUUCAAAUAGAAUUUAAUCAUAAAAGCUAUCACUUUCCCCAAACAAAACAGACUUCAUCCAAACCCUUGUCACAACACACAACCUAUGUUAAACCUAAAAAAAUGCCAUUGACAAACAUAAAUAAAAAAAAAAAUGAAAAAAAUAAACAAGAGAACUCCCACCAUUGACAUACGAAUUGAAGACUGAAAUGUAGAAGAAAAGAAAAAAAAAUCUUAGUGUGUAAAAUUAAUCAGAUAAGAUAGUACCGAAAAUCAAUUACGCCCAAAAUAAAAUUAAAACGAAAGAAAGCUAAUUCAAUUACAUUCAAC
RNAcentral lists this long non-coding RNA (421 nucleotides) under Erythranthe guttata (spotted monkey flower). RNAcentral's name for it is "long non-coding RNA (EGUT_LNC001160)". Lineage: Eukaryota; Viridiplantae; Streptophyta; Magnoliopsida; Lamiales; Phrymaceae. The record is from RNAcentral.